UCUCUCGCUCCUCUUCAUCGCCUCUAUUCCGAUCGGGCUCCCUUUCUUGCCCCUUCCGUUCGCUAUCUGCUUCGAAACCCCAAUCUUUCCGGACUCUCAUUCCUUUAUUUUCGGUGAUUCCAAGCUAGAUUCUUUAUUUCUAGUUGUUUCUUAUGUUCUUCUGUCCUGCGAGAAUGUCAUUGCUGUUCUUACUGUGGGGUAUCGUCAAUGCUCUUCUUGUUCGGUUGACUCGGAAUUUUGCUUGUUCCGCCUGUUGCGCCGCCCAAUUGUCAAGAACUCCGUUUCCUCAUUCUUUACACUAUAAUUUAGGGUGUCUGUUUAGCUUGCCAUGGAGAUCAUGUUUUCUAAUCCAUAAAUGCCUCUGCUUUACAUGUAUACAAGAAUCCUCAACAAUAUUAUGCUUCUGAAGACAACUUGCAUCUCCGGGUAAUAGGGUUACUUUCUUGGCUCCAUGCUUUCAUCUUGUGUUAUGUGACUUUGAUCUUCUCGAUGAGGCCUUCUUUUAUUUUAUUAGCGAGCUUUUUGGUCGGUCAAAUUUGAACUGGAUUGGGUCAACAAGUUGUUGACCAGAAACGUCGUGUCUCGGGACUGAGAACCGAUCAAGGACCGUGUUCUUAACGAUUUCGAUCAGGGUUUACUGAAAGAGAAGUAUGUUUCGACCGUUCCGCAGUAAAAAUCCCUCUUCUUCAUGCGUGUUUAGUCAGAUACGAUAAGAGUGUAAGAGCAUCGCAGCGAGUUCUUUAAUUCUGACAAAGAAGUUGACUUCGUUGAAAGAUAGAUCAGAGGAUGGAAUGCGAGUGGUCAUCGCUAAUACUUGUGCUAUGCAUUAAAUAUCAAUUGUCCAUAUACUCAGAAGUCUUUGCUUUUAGUCUUUCUCCGUGGCACUAGCUCUUCGAGUAGUACUUUUGCUGGUCCUGGGUUUGUGCCUGUUGCACAGACCACAUUUUAUUCGUAGUUACAGCUCUCUGACAAAUUUAAUCUGUCCGCUAAUUAGCAGCUGAGACUGGGCCUAAGGGGCGGAAGCCACACCUGCACCUACAUUGUCAUUCAAGUGGUUGUAACAAGUGUUGUUUAGUCUACACUAAUUCCUCCAAGUGGUCAUUGAACCUACGUGACACCACAGAAAAUGUUGAUGAACAAGACAUGGCCUUUGUUCCUGUUUAAGCGAGCGAGAGUUGGCGCUACAACCGAGGGAAGAAGACAGAUUUGUAGGUGCGGAAGGCCGGAAAGAUCACUGAUCUGAUGUUAAUUGACGGCCGAAUGAUAGAUGGAAAGAAGAUAUUGCUGAAAAAUAUCGAAUGCGUACGACAACAAGCCAGGUAGUGACUCUGGCAAACUCACCAAGAGCAUGGAAUAUGAAACAUUUGGGUUGGGUACCUGCUCCAUCUGUCUCACCUGAACAUCAUAGUUAUGUCUCAAGUCAUCAUGUGUUGAAGCAUCAUAGACAUUUGCCUCCUGCUCGCUUACCAACCUCAAUUACUCCACCACAAACACAGGGUUCUAAAUCUUGGUUUCAUUGACCUGGUUUGGCUCAUGUUUUUUGGCCAAAACUAAGAAUUUAGCCGACUUUGUCGGUGAUGAUAAUUAUUGCGUAAUGUCGAUCACCAUGAUUAACUUUUGUUCACAUGACUUAUUGAUCUAUUUAUUUCUUCUUCUUGAACUUCAAACAGGUUGUGAAAUGUCCUGUUCUGAUCCACUCACUUCAACCCCAAUUGGUUCACCCUGUGGAUGUGUAUACCCUAUGCAAGUUGGAAUUGAUCUUGGUGUAGCACCCACCAUAUGAGUGAUUCUCUAGAAUUGCUGAGCUUGAAGUUGACGUUGUGUCUGGCACAUUUCUGAAACAAAGUCGAGUGAGAAUAAUGGGUGCCAGUGCUAGCAUGAAGGACAACAGUUAUUGUUGACUUGGUGCCUCCAGGUGAGAAAUUCGAUAAGACGACUGCACUUCUGACUUACGAAACAUUUUAUAUAUCUUAGACUUUUUAUAUUAUCACUGGACCACUUUUUAUAUAUCAGACUGUCAUUCCAUCCUCUUGAUUAUAUUAUCACUAGACCAUACAAGAAUCUACUCCAUAUGAGUUUGUCAA
Musa acuminata AAA Group (dessert banana) is the source of this 2084-nucleotide long non-coding RNA. RefSeq lists it as uncharacterized. The transcript is spliced from 4 exons. The record is from RefSeq and is a predicted model, not a curated record. NCBI's taxonomy places the organism in Eukaryota, Viridiplantae, Streptophyta, Magnoliopsida, Zingiberales, Musaceae.